UGGGGAAUUUUGGACAAUGGGGGCAACCCUGAUCCAGCAAUGCCGCGUGUGUGAAGAAGGCCUUCGGGUUGUAAAGCACUUUUGUUCGGAACGAAACGCGCUGGGCUAAUAUCCCGGCGUAAUGACGGUACCGGAAGAAUAAGCACCGGCUAACUACGUGCCAGCAGCCGCGGUAAUACGUAGGGUGCAAGCGUUAAUCGGAAUUACUGGGCGUAAAGCGUGCGCAGGCGGUUGUGCAAGACAGAUGUGAAAUCCCCGGGCUUAACCUGGGAAUUGCAUUUGUGACUGCACGGCUAGAGUGUGUCAGAGGGGGGUAGAAUUCCACGUGUAGCAGUGAAAUGCGUAGAUAUGUGGAGGAAUACCGAUGGCGAAGGCAGCCCCCUGGGAUAACACUGACGCUCAUGCACGAAAGCGUGGGGAGCAAACAGGAUUAGAUACCCUGGUAGUCCACGCCCUAAACGAUGUCUACUAGUUGUCGGGUCUUAAUUGACUUGGUAACGCAGCUAACGCGUGAAGUAGACCGCCUGGGGAGUACGGUCGCAAGAUUAA
Molecule: ribosomal RNA, 549 nt
Filed under: uncultured Oxalobacteraceae bacterium
Lineage: Bacteria; Pseudomonadati; Pseudomonadota; Betaproteobacteria; Burkholderiales; Oxalobacteraceae
Description: bacterial SSU rRNA
Rfam family: Bacterial small subunit ribosomal RNA
Source: RNAcentral